AUGCAUCUCUAUUCCUACUUCUCAUGGCAAGGAAUAGAAAAUACAAUGCGGAAAUUAAACCAGAAUCAGAAUAAUACCAAACGAACACAAAGUUCGUUACAAGCAAGCAAAACAAAGAAACCCGGAAAACUUCGCGAAAGCUUCACCAAUCAAAGAGUCAAAAAUGAAAUGCUCGAAAUAAACGUCGAAGCAUCAUCGAUGUGA
Non-coding RNA from Vicia faba (fava bean), 204 nucleotides. NCBI's taxonomy places the organism in Eukaryota, Viridiplantae, Streptophyta, Magnoliopsida, Fabales, Fabaceae. The record is from the annotation of a GenBank genome assembly.